RNAcentral lists this ribosomal RNA (253 nucleotides) under uncultured bacterium. RNAcentral describes it as "partial 16S ribosomal RNA". It matches the Rfam family "Bacterial small subunit ribosomal RNA", at positions 524 to 776 of the family's 1533-position model. The record is from RNAcentral.
UACGUAGGGGGCAAGCGUUGUCCGGAUUUAUUGGGCGUAAAGAGCUCGUAGGCGGUCUGUCGCGUCUGCUGUGAAAAUCCAGGGCUCAACCCUGGACCUGCAGUGGGUACGGGCAGACUAGAGUGCGGUAGGGGAGAUCGGAAUUCCUGGUGUAGCGGUGAAAUGCGCAGAUAUCAGGAGGAACACCGGUUGCGAAGGCGGAUCUCUGGGCCGUAACUGACGCUGAGGAGCGAAAGCAUGGGGAGCGAACAGG